Molecule: ribosomal RNA, 301 nt
Filed under: uncultured bacterium
Lineage: Bacteria
Description: partial 16S ribosomal RNA
Rfam family: Bacterial small subunit ribosomal RNA
Source: RNAcentral
CAGCCGCCGCGGUAAUACGGAGGGUGCAAGCGUUAAUCGGAUUUACUGGGCGUAAAGCGUGCGUAGGCGGCUAAUUGAGUCGGAUGUGAAAUCCCCGAGCUUAACUUGGGAAUUGCAUUCGAUACUGGUUAGCUAGAGUGUGGGAGAGGAUGGUAGAAUUCCAGGUGUAGCGGUGAAAUGCGUAGAGAUCUGGAGGAAUACCGAUGGCGAAGGCAGCCAUCUGGCCUAACACUGACGCUGAGGUACGAAAGCAUGGGGAGCAAACAGGAUUAGAUACCCCCGUAGUCCCUGUCUCUUAUAC